Quercus robur (English oak) is the source of this 676-nucleotide long non-coding RNA. RefSeq lists it as uncharacterized. The record is from RefSeq and is a predicted model, not a curated record. The transcript has 3 exons. NCBI's taxonomy places the organism in Eukaryota, Viridiplantae, Streptophyta, Magnoliopsida, Fagales, Fagaceae.
UUAUUCUUUGUAGGAAAGUGUAAGUGUGAAUGCAAAGAAAAAGAAAGGUUGAAAAAGUGGGUGGUGAGAUUUUUCCUUAGCAUCACACGUAUUCCACCCAAGUUCACUCUCUUUAUCUGAUUUUGCUGCCCCAAAAGUCUUCUCUCUUGCCUUAUUUUCUUGGCUGCACCAGACAGAAAUUCCAGCCCCUCUUUCCCUACUCUUUUCCUUGUUCUUUGUUUCUUUCUUCUCCCCUUCUUACAUGGCAGCCCUCUCUCUCUCACCAAAGCAAAAUAUCUCUCUCUAAAGAAGAAAUUAAAGAGUUAAUACUAAAACUUCAGCUUCAAAUUGUUGGGGGUGUUACCAGUAUCCAAGUUUAAGCUCCUUCGACUUUAGGCUCUCGGUUCCUCUGCUUUCAGGUAAGGGAUAAGUUAUAUGGGCAUUUGUUAGCAGGUUUUAUUUUGGAGCAGAGGGAGCCUUAGUCGAGUUUGGAAGAAGCUGGUUUUAGUUUAAUAUGUAUAGAUCCUAAAUUAGCAAUUUGAUGUUUAGCUUUGUAGUAUUGUGUAUUUUAGGAUCUAAUGAAAGUGUGUACCUUAAAGUAUUAAGAGAUGUAUUAUGUGAAAUUCAGAAUUUGAGUAACUAGUGAGUUAUGUUAUUCUUUGGAGUACAAUGUAGAUGCUCUGAAUGUCAAGUGAAA